RNAcentral lists this ribosomal RNA (300 nucleotides) under uncultured Gammaproteobacteria bacterium. RNAcentral's name for it is "bacterial SSU rRNA". It matches the Rfam family "Bacterial small subunit ribosomal RNA", at positions 115 to 417 of the family's 1533-position model. The record is from RNAcentral. Lineage: Bacteria; Pseudomonadati; Pseudomonadota; Gammaproteobacteria.
GCGUAGGUAUCUGCCUAGUAGUGGGGGACAACCUGGUGAAAACCAGGCUAAUACCGCAUACGCCCUACGGGGAAAGAAGGCCUCUUCUUGAAAGCUUUCACUAUUAGAUGAGCCUGCGUCGGAUUAGCUAGUUGGUAAGGUAACGGCUUACCAAGGCAACGAUCCGUAGCUGGUUUGAGAGAACGACCAGCCACAUUGGGACUGAGACACGGCCCAGACUCCUACGGGAGGCAGCAGUGGGGAAUAUUGGACAAUGGGGGCAACCCUGAUCCAGCAAUACCGCGUGUGUGAAGAAGGCCC